GAGAAGAGAAGAGCUAGGAGAGACCAGCGGGCGGUAGCUGCGGCGAGUGGCCUCUCCGUGCGGCACAGAGGCAAGAAGCAGCCAUCCAUCCAGAAGCAGCCUCCGUGUUCCGUUUGUCCGGAUGUCAUCGUAGGUGGCCGGCAUCUCUGGCUUUGGGCUUCUCCCCUGGGGGCGGGUGGGUGCUCCACCCUCCCGCCCACUCUCUGAGGACAUGAGGAACAUGGUAUCCAGCACCACGGACAGCUCCCAGCGGUUCCUUGAAUGCUUGGUUUAUGUGCCUGGCUGGAGGAGACACCCAUGGCCUUGCAGAGGGAGCGUUCUGGUGGGAAAGCAGACACAACCCACCCUAGGCCCGUGGUUUCCCUGCAAGAAGCCCAGUGGCUUUCUGGAGGACACUUUUCCUGGAGGAAGUGACUCAAGAGCAGCAUAAGCCAGGCUCUAUGGAAUGUUGGGUGAGCUGCUUGAGGAACUCCAAGGCCUGUCCCACAGUCUUCCAGCCUCCGACUCUCCGGCCCUCAGCGAGGAAGUCCCACUGGUUUUUUUGGUUGGUUUUUUUUUUUUUUUUUAAGGUUUUUUGGUUUUUUUUUUUUUUUCUCAUUCCUGUCUUGGGAGCUUUCCCCAACCAGGAGAGUGAAGAUGGGCGGAGCUGUCACACCAACUGUUAGCCUGCCUUGGCUGAGAGGAGAGGAGGCGAGGAGGGAGCGACCACCCAGCUUUAGUCGUUUUAAAACAGCUCCUGACCCUAGAAGAAGGGAAAUGGAGAUGAAGACCCAAUUGACUUGGCUUCCCUCCCUCCCAGUGCUGAUUUCCUGUGGACCAGAUUCCAGCACAGUGGAGGGCCAGAGCUCAGGGAACAGACCCAGCAGCACAGCAAGUCUCCAAGGAAAGCUCUAGCAGUCUCCAGGGGCUGAAGGCAGGACUGGGGAAGCGGCUAGCCAGGCUGCAGAAGGCAAAUGCUCCCAGACGGCUGUCCAGCACGCAUCCGCCUUCCUAGCCAAGUUUCCUGGGCUCCUGCCACAGAUCUAAGCCUCAUCCUGACAUCCUGCCCUCUGUGCUCUGGGAUGGCCCAGGGGAGAUGCUUAGCCUUGGCUCCUUGUCUGCUGGUGGAGGGGACACACACCCUUUCUGGACCACAGACCAAAAAGAAGACCUGACGUCAUCCUGAGCACCCCCGCCAUGCAGAGUGUGUUCGCAGACUGCCAACGGGCUGGCUCCGGCCAGCAGAAGUGAACAGAGGUGGAGGUUCAGCCUGACAGCUUCUCCCCAAAGCCAUGGAGAGAAAACCUUACCACCCCCACCGCCCAGCUACUUCCAGCAAGUUGUCCAGCCUGACCCCUCUAUUUCCCCUGUUGUCUCUUAUCUGGGUCCCUGAGACCCACCCCAUCUCCAAUAAAGAACAUUGCAUACUGUG
Molecule: long non-coding RNA, 1411 nt
Filed under: Mus musculus (house mouse)
Lineage: Eukaryota; Metazoa; Chordata; Mammalia; Rodentia; Muridae
Description: predicted gene 3764
Source: RNAcentral